UCAGUGAUCCCAUGUCGGCUUCCAGACCACAAUGACCUGGGAGCAGGGCAACUUUAUGUGGCCUCGCCUGCCCCGUAGCCUCUGUCGCUGGCCGAGGAUCAGGGCUGUCUGAGGUCGCUUGAAACGCAACCAGCGAGAAUCAAGGACCUAAACACUGUAGGAGGAUCAGAGGAGGAAGGUGGAAGAUCGAUGGGCUGAUGGUGCAAAGGGAACUGCCGAGCCAGCCCUGAUAGCGCAACCACAAACACCUAUCGACAGUUGCCCCGAGGUGACCCAAAGGUCACCGGGAAAUAUAUGGAUCCGACUCAAGUCUAAUUGGUUGGUGUUGGGAAACCAGGAGGAUGCACUGAAGAAAUGGAAAAACGAUUCUCAAUUCACCGGGCGAGAGUUCGGACAUACGUUGCACCAUUAUCGCGUGGAACAGCUUCUGGAGCCCUGUGGUUUUACUCCUGACGCGCUGCAGCCUCAUCAUCAGGGACAGGGCUCACCUCAGCCGUCAAUAGGAAACGUGUCAUCGAGGUUCAGCGGGGGUGUUACUCCUGUAAUUAAGCCCCAACACUCAUUGUGCUUAUGAAAACCACCGAGCAACCAGGCCACUCGCCUCCACUCUUUAACCUCAUCCUUCCUUGGAAUCAUCCGGCGGGGUCUAAUUAUGGGCUUCAAGGAUGAAAAGUCAUGUCCAAACACAACAUAACCCACAAGCAUGUG
Long non-coding RNA from Pleuronectes platessa (European plaice), 708 nucleotides. RefSeq lists it as uncharacterized. The transcript has 3 exons. NCBI's taxonomy places the organism in Eukaryota, Metazoa, Chordata, Actinopteri, Pleuronectiformes, Pleuronectidae. The record is from RefSeq and is a predicted model, not a curated record.